GURGACAUGAGAAGCCCGAAAGGUCGAAAGGGGAAAUUCAUUCGCGGCUCGGCUGUCGGCGUGGAGCGUCCGAGUGUGACGGAUGACGCGCCGCGUUUACGCGUGCGUCGUCGUCCGCGCCUUUCGUUCUUCGAACCGGCGUCGAACGCGUGCACUUUUCCUCUAGUAGGACGUCGCGAUCCGUUGGGUGUCGGUCUAAGGCUCGCGGUGGAGUCCGCGCGGUCGUCACAUGACGUAUCGCGCGAACCCGUGAUGUUAUCCCGGCCGAUUCGCUCGACGGUAUAAACAUGGCGCGGGGCCGCUACACAUUUACAGUUAGCGUCCGGCCCGCGGCAAGCACGGUCGGUUUUCAAUAUAGUGACGGCGAUCGGACCCGGUGCCGAUCCUGUCCCCGACCGACUGUUGGCUGCGGUGAUCUCGGACAGACCUCGUUAACGAAACGCCGAUCUGCGACGCUAUAGCUUUGGGUACUUUCAGGACCCGUCUUGAAACACGGACCAAGGAGUCUAGCAUGUGCGCGAGUCAUUGGGACAUAACUAAACCUAAAGGCGCAAUGAAAGUGAAGGUUCGUCUCGCGCGAACCGAGGGAGGAUGAGCGGUAUUAGCCCUCAAAGUGGCCGCUCCGCACUCCCGGGGCGUCUCGUUCUCAUUGCGAGAAGAGGCGCACCAAGAGCGUACACGCUGGGACCCGAAAGAUGGUGAACU
This 705-nucleotide ribosomal RNA is filed under the name Lamprosoma sp. JJG215. Its description in RNAcentral is "eukaryotic LSU rRNA". It matches the Rfam family "Eukaryotic large subunit ribosomal RNA", at positions 596 to 832 of the family's 3401-position model. Lineage: Eukaryota; Metazoa; Arthropoda; Insecta; Coleoptera; Chrysomelidae. The record is from RNAcentral.